This is a long non-coding RNA of Dermacentor andersoni, 499 nucleotides long. RefSeq lists it as uncharacterized. The record is from RefSeq and is a predicted model, not a curated record. Lineage: Eukaryota; Metazoa; Arthropoda; Arachnida; Ixodida; Ixodidae.
AUUUCCUUCGUCCAUGAAAAAAGAUGAAUAGUGGUGUUAAAGAUGAAUAAGCCACCCGUUCCGGCGCGCAUGGCGCGCAGAGAGAGAGAGAGAAAGAGACAAAAAAAAAAAUGAAGGAGGAAAAGGCGCUCACACUCCUCCGAGCGCGCACGCCCUCGCGCGCGGAGCUCCUGCGCAUGCUCGGAGCUCUUGCGCAUGCGCGGCGGUGCGCCGUCUCAACGAGUGCGCCAGGCACGUAAACGGUUGUACCGGUGUGCGGUGUAUGCCUGAACGUCGGUGUCUGUGUAUGCGUGUCAUCUUUGUGGCAUCACACGUCAACUACACUGAACGCAUACACCUGCAGCACCUUUGGGACUAAUGACACAAAGGUCAAGGCCAGCCUGGCGACCAUGCUUGCCAAGAAGUAGUGUAAAUAUGUAAUCUGUUUCCAUAAUUAGCAUAAGACAUGAAUUUAAGGAAUUCAUAUAUUAUAUCGAGCAAUAAAAACGGUUAAUGCAUU